CUUUGCUUGUAAAUGCUUUCUGCUCUGCUGUUAGAUGUGAAAUGGCGUGUCACACUGAUGUGUCAUUGUUGACAGGCAUCAUUGUUGACAGGCCACCUUCCGAGGCCUUGUCCAAGUCUUAUUUUCUCAAAAUUGUGUAUAUUUAUCUUUCAGUCUUCUCUAAAAUUUGUGUCACAACUAUAACUUCUUACUUUGUGGACACCUUAAUUGUCAAUAGGCACAUGACACUUCGGAAUCUCAUCUUCAGCAUGCAAUUCAAUCUUAAUUUAUAACUCACUCAUAUCAAUUCAACUA
This 294-nucleotide long non-coding RNA is filed under the name Elaeis guineensis (African oil palm). Its description in RNAcentral is "long non-coding RNA (EGUI_LNC005427)". Lineage: Eukaryota; Viridiplantae; Streptophyta; Magnoliopsida; Arecales; Arecaceae. The record is from RNAcentral.